Molecule: ribosomal RNA, 441 nt
Filed under: uncultured bacterium
Lineage: Bacteria
Description: partial 16S ribosomal RNA
Rfam family: Bacterial small subunit ribosomal RNA
Source: RNAcentral
CCUACGGGAGACAGCAGUGGGGAAUAUUGGGCAAUGGGCGCAAGCCUGACCCAGCAACGCCGCGUGAAGGAUGACGGUUUUCGGAUUGUAAACUUCUGUCGCGAGGGACGAAGAAUGACGGUCCUUCGUAAGAAAGCCCCGGCUACAUACGUGCCAGCAGCCGAGGUAAUACGUAGGGGGCAAGCGUUGUCCGGAAUGACUGGGCGUAAAGGGAGCGUAGGCGGCUCAUCAAGUUAGAUGUGAAAGCCCGCGGCUUAACCGCGGAACUGCAUCUAAAACUGGUAGGCUGGAGUGCAGGAGAGGUGAGUGGAAUUCCUAGUGUAGCGGUGGAAUGCGUAGAUAUUAGGAGGAACACCAGAGGCGAAGGCGACUCACUGGACUGUAACUGACGCUGAGGCUCGAAAGCGUGGGGAGCAAACAGGAUUAGAUACCCCAGUAGUC